GAUGAACGCUGGCGGCGUGCCUAAUACAUGCAAGUCGAGCGAACGGACGAGAAGCUUGCUUCUCUGAUGUUAGCGGCGGACGGGUGAGUAACACGUGGAUAACCUACCUAUAAGACUGGGAUAACUUCGGGAAACCGGAGCUAAUACCGGAUAAUAUUUUGAACCGCAUGGUUCAAAAGUGAAAGACGGUCUUGCUGUCACUUAUAGAUGGAUCCGCGCUGCAUUAGCUAGUUGGUAAGGUAACGGCUUACCAAGGCAACGAUGCAUAGCCGACCUGAGAGGGUGAUCGGCCACACUGGAACUGAGACACGGGCCAGACUCCUACGGGAGGCAGCAGUAGGGAAUCUUCCGCAAUGGGCGAAAGCCUGACGGAGCAACGCCGCGUGAGUGAUGAAGGUCUUCGGAUCGUAAACUCUGUUAUUAGGGAAGAACAUAUGUGUAAGUAACUGUGCACAUCUUGACGGUACCUAAUCAGAAAGCCACGGCUAACUACGUG
This 496-nucleotide ribosomal RNA is filed under the name uncultured bacterium. Its description in RNAcentral is "partial 16S ribosomal RNA". It matches the Rfam family "Bacterial small subunit ribosomal RNA", at positions 28 to 507 of the family's 1533-position model. The record is from RNAcentral.